Molecule: ribosomal RNA, 488 nt
Filed under: uncultured bacterium
Lineage: Bacteria
Description: partial 16S ribosomal RNA
Rfam family: Bacterial small subunit ribosomal RNA
Source: RNAcentral
GACGAACGCUGGCGGCGUGCCUAACACAUGCAAGUCGAGCGGAGUUAGUUUGUAGCUUGCUACAAACUAACUUAGCGGCGGACGGGUGAGUAACGCGUGGAUAACCUGCCUUUUACAGGGGGAUAACACAGGGAAACUUGUGCUAAUACCGCAUAACAUAUAGAAGUGGCAUCACUUUUAUAUCAAAGGAGCAAUUCGGUAGAAGAUGGAUCCGCGUCCGAUUAGCUAGUUGGCGGGGUAAAGGCCCACCAAGGCGACGAUCAGUAGCCGAACUUGGAGGUUGAUCGGCAACAUUGGGACUGAGACACGGCCCAGACUCCUACGGGAGGCAGCAGUGGGGAAUAUUGCGCAAUGGGGGAAACCCUGACGCAGCAACGCCGCGUGAAGGAUGAAGGCUUUCGGGUUGUAAACUUCUUUAGUCGGGGACGAAAAAAUGACGGUACCCGAAGAAUAAGCCACGGCUAACUACGUGCCAGCAGCCGCCGCUG